This 594-nucleotide ribosomal RNA is filed under the name uncultured bacterium. RNAcentral describes it as "bacterial SSU rRNA". It matches the Rfam family "Bacterial small subunit ribosomal RNA", at positions 302 to 915 of the family's 1533-position model. The record is from RNAcentral.
ACACGGCCACACUGGCACUGAAACACGGGCCAGACUCCUACGGGAGGCAGCAGUGGGGAAUCUUGCACAAUGGGGGAAACCCUGAUGCAGCGACGCCGCGUGAGCGAUGAAGCCCCUCGGGGUGUAAAGCUCUUUCGGCAGGGAAGAUUAUGACGGUACCUGCAAAAGCAGCUGCGGCUAACUACGUGCCAGCAGCCGCGGUAAUACGUAGGCAGCAAGCGUUGUUCGGAGUUACUGGGCGUAAAGGGUGCGUAGGCGGCUUUUUAAGUUUGGUGUGAAAUCUCCCGGCUCAACUGGGAGGGUGCGCCGAAUACUGAGAGGCUAGAGUGUGGGAGAGGAAAGUGGAAUUCCUGGUGUAGCGGUGAAAUGCGUAGAUAUCAGGAGGAACACCGGUGGUGUAAACGGCUUUCUGGACCAUAACUGACGCUGAGGCACGAAAGCGUGGGUAGCAAACAGGAUUAGAUACCCUGGUAGUCCACGCCCUAAACGAUGCAUAUUUGGUGUGGGCCAUUCAUUUGGUCUGUGCCGGAGCUAACGCGUUAAAUAUGCCGCCUGGGGAGUACAGUCGCAAGGCUGAAACUCAAAGGAAUGACG